This is a long non-coding RNA of Mustela erminea (ermine), 560 nucleotides long. RefSeq lists it as uncharacterized. The transcript is spliced from 4 exons. NCBI's taxonomy places the organism in Eukaryota, Metazoa, Chordata, Mammalia, Carnivora, Mustelidae. The record is from RefSeq and is a predicted model, not a curated record.
ACACACCCGGAGAAGGAGUGGGGGGGGGUUGAGAACAGGGCCUGGGACAAUCUGCACAGCUAUCUCGGAAGAAGAGAAAAAGAGCUCUGACUUUUCAGGAGAGAGGCCAUGCCGGAGGGCACCCCUGCCAACCUGGGCACACUUUGGGGGUCAGACUUGAUUCUCCGCAAUGAUGUCUGCCCUGCCCUUGCUUGCCCCAGCCCAUGCCCCCCAGGGCUCUGCUCCACCUUGAUGCCCAAAGCUCUUCCUAGGAGACACGAGGUAGAAGAAAUGAAUGCAUCUCCAGUAAGAAAGAGGGCUGUUAGAAGGAGAGGGGGGCCUCCUGGUGAUGAGAGGAGUUAUUUAUGGAGAUGCUAAACAGAUCACACCCUCUGAGGAUGGAGCCUAGGAAGACCCCAUGGCCCUGUUGAUCUCGUUACUCUGUGUCUUGUCAGCAGAUCUGCCGCCCUGCUGCUCAUUCAAGCUUGGGGCUAAUCACAUUAAUUGAAAUAUUAAACAUUUACAAAAAUGAAUUAUAAUGAACUCCCCUUCCUCCUCCUCCCAGUCAGCAACUGGGGAGA